AUCCAGAUAAUAAUCAUGUGUCUACUCUCAGUAUGGACAUUUCCAUUGUACACUCGGAAUAUGUAUAUACACGUAUGAAUAAAGAAUAGAUUGCAUUCUCCUCCAAGCAAGUUCAUAGUGUUGAAGUCAAAGCUUUACAAGUCCUGAAGGAAGCCCUGACCAGCCCAACUUAGAGGCUGAUAUGUGAUAGGGAAGAACUGACCAUCUCCACUUUGGUCUGGUGAUCGGGGAUUACCUCUGCUGUUGCCCCACCUUCUGAGGUUUUGGAGUGACCUUGGCUGGCAAUUGA
Silurus meridionalis is the source of this 289-nucleotide long non-coding RNA. RefSeq lists it as uncharacterized. NCBI's taxonomy places the organism in Eukaryota, Metazoa, Chordata, Actinopteri, Siluriformes, Siluridae. The record is from RefSeq and is a predicted model, not a curated record. The transcript is spliced from 3 exons.